RNAcentral lists this ribosomal RNA (492 nucleotides) under uncultured bacterium. RNAcentral's name for it is "partial 16S ribosomal RNA". It matches the Rfam family "Bacterial small subunit ribosomal RNA", at positions 29 to 507 of the family's 1533-position model. The record is from RNAcentral.
AGUGAACGCUGGCGGUAGGCCUAACACAUGCAAGUCGAACGGCAGCACAGUAAGAGCUUGCUCUUACGGGUGGCGAGUGGCGGACGGGUGAGGAAUACAUCGGAAUCUACUUUUUCGUGGGGGAUAACGUAGGGAAACUUACGCUAAUACCGCAUACGACCUACGGGUGAAAGCAGGGGAUCUUCGGACCUUGCGCGAUUGAAUGAGCCGAUGUCGGAUUAGCUAGUUGGCGGGGUAAAGGCCCACCAAGGCGACGAUCCGUAGCUGGUCUGAGAGGAUGAUCAGCCACACUGGAACUGAGACACGGUCCAGACUCCUACGGGAGGCAGCAGUGGGGAAUAUUGGACAAUGGGCGCAAGCCCGAUCCAGCCAUACCGCGUGGGUGAAGAAGGCCUUCGGGUUGUAAAGCCCUUUUGUUGGGAAAGAAAAGCAGCAGGUUAAUACCCCGCUGUUCUGACGGUACCCAAAGAAUAAGCAACGGCUAACUUCGUG